Molecule: long non-coding RNA, 1449 nt
Organism: Brassica napus (rape)
Lineage: Eukaryota; Viridiplantae; Streptophyta; Magnoliopsida; Brassicales; Brassicaceae
Exons: 2
Source: RefSeq, a predicted model, not a curated record
AAUUUACAAUAAAGUUUUAGAAUAAAAACAGAUUACAUUUAUUAUUUUCAGUAUAAAUUAAAAUUUUAAAUAUUUUAUAUAAUUAACUAUUUUAAUAUAAAAUACUUUUAAUAUAAACUCACCCGCCCGUAGGGCGGGCCAACCCCUAGUUUUAAAUAUUCGAUUAAUAUUCGAAGAUUAUAUAACUAUCAUGCAGAAGGGUUAAUUUGUUGGUUAUUGGUAAUAAACAUUUUUAGUGUAUUUUGACAAUUGACAAUCAUACUUUUGUAAAAUAAGGCAACCACAGUUUUAUUUUUCAAAGAUAAGAUAUAAAAUAUACAAAUAGAAAUUCAAGAUGCAACAUUUUUUAUGAUCCUAUGGAAUAGUGAAUACCUCUCAGUUAUAUCUAUUAAUUUUCUAUUUCACUGUACCUUGUUAUUGUAUUUUCUAAUUGACCAAAAUUCCUUACAUAGAUAUCAAAUGUUAUAUUAGCUAACCAUAAAUCACCAAAAAUUAUAAUGGUUGAUAAAAAAAUAAUGCAAUUGUCAAUAUUCAAAGCUUACAAUGGUUUAUUUAAAAUAAGAUGUGAUUAUAUUCAGGUUACUUGAUGAGAGGUGAAACUAUUCAACCACAGAGAAAAUAUGAGAUGCCGACACAAUUCCCAACUCAAAAUCCGGAAGAAUAGAUGGGCUAUAAUAUUUUUUGUUAAAAGAGUUUACAAUGACAAAGAUAAGUAACGUAUGACAUUUAAAACUGCAAAAGAUUUCGCAGAGGGUACGAACUCUCUCUCUCUUAUCUCUUUCAAAUCUUUUAGAGAGAGAGAGUUAGUCCUUUUUGAUAUCCGGAGAUCUCUUUGGUGACUUCACGCCCAGCGGUUUGGGCUUAGACUCUGGCACAUGGUGACUUUCUAUGGUGUGGCCGGCUCUCGACUCCGACGGUCUCUUCUAUCGUCUCGGAGAUGUCGUGCGGCUUUUGACUCUGGCGAUCCACCUUCCUCUCCGGUGGUUUCGGCCGGCUUGCUUCCGGGUUUAUCUCAGAUUUGUCAUCUUUUUUACAAGUGAAGAUCUGUUUUAUCGACGGUGAUUGUGGCCUUUGCAUCUGGCGGUUCUUGUUCUCUGUGGAGCUUCCCUGAAGUUCUUUUAUGUCGAUGGUGUUUAAUUUACCUCUCGUCGGUGGCGGCGGUUCUAACGACGGGUUGCUGUCUCCAGUGGAACAUGCCGGUUAGAGCUUCUGUCGGUGACUUUCGGACGGUGAAGUUGGUGGCCUCUCGACUUGUGGGCACGUGUUGCCCCCAACACGCUAACAAUGAAACGCGUGGAUGUGUCGAUGUCCCUUCCUCUUUCCAUUGGACCUUAUUGUACUGGAUCUUUUGUGGGCCUCGUGGUUUAUAGUUUGUCUAUCUAUGGGCUUUUUGUUGUGGUUCUUUUGUGUUUUUGGGCUUCUUUAAUAAAAUUUUCCACAGAAAAAAAA